AUACGGAGGGGGCAAGCGUUGUUCGAAAUGACUGGGCGUAAAGGGCGCGUAGGCGGAUGUGUAAGUUGGGGGUGAAAGGCCUGGGCUCAACCUGGGAAUUGCCUCCAAAACUACAUGUCUUGAGAUCGGAAGAGGAUGGCGGAAUUCCCAGUGUAGAGGUGAAAUUCGUAGAUAUUGGGAAGAACACCGGUGGCGAAGGCGGCCAUCUGGCUCGGUACUGACGCUGAGGCGCGAAAGCGUGGGGAGCAAACCGGAUUAGAAACCCGUGUAGUCC
RNAcentral lists this ribosomal RNA (274 nucleotides) under uncultured bacterium. Its description in RNAcentral is "partial 16S ribosomal RNA". It matches the Rfam family "Bacterial small subunit ribosomal RNA", at positions 523 to 796 of the family's 1533-position model. The record is from RNAcentral.